Molecule: ribosomal RNA, 253 nt
Filed under: uncultured bacterium
Lineage: Bacteria
Description: partial 16S ribosomal RNA
Rfam family: Bacterial small subunit ribosomal RNA
Source: RNAcentral
UACGAAGGGGGCUAGCGUUGCUCGGAAUCACUGGGCGUAAAGCGCACGUAGGCGGCUUACUAAGUCAGGGGUGAAAUCCUGGAGCUCAACUCCAGAACUGCCUUUGAUACUGGUAAGCUCGAGUCCGGGAGAGGUGAGUGGAACUGCGAGUGUAGAGGUGAAAUUCGUAGAUAUUCGCAAGAACACCAGUGGCGAAGGCGGCUCACUGGCCCGGUACUGACGCUGAGGCGCGAAAGCGUGGGGAGCAAACAGG